CCGAGUGCGGCGCUCUCAGCCUGAAGCUCCCAGGCCAGGCCGAGCUCGGCGCCUCCUCGCACGGGACCGUUGCCCCGGCGUGCGCGUGCAGCGGCAGGCCGCCCACGACCACCCGCUGCGCGUGGUACGAGGAUCGCUUGGCGGCGCUGCGCUCCCGCUUGUGCGCGUUCUGGUGCCCGCCCAGCGCCUGCGAGCUGAAGAACUUGCGCAGGCAGAAGUUGCAGGAGAACACCUUGUGCGGGGGCGGCUUGGCGGCGGACCCGGACCCGGACCCGGACUCGGAGUCCGCGGAGCAGCUCGCGGCGUCCGGGGACGGAGACGGCGACGGCGAUUCGCUCGCGCCCAGCGUCAGGUUCAGCCACGCCGCGCCGUCGCCGUGCUGCUCCCUGGUUGCAGGCUUGCAGCCCCUGGAUGGCUGGAUGGUGCAUCAGAAGCAGCUUGCAGUUUGUUGCUUUAUAAAGGAGGACGAGAUGCGCUGUGGCCACAUGCUGUUCUUUCUGCUAACUUCCGCAUCAGGUGGUCUUUCUUUCUUUCUUUCAUGGCGAGAUGGGACGGGAGCCGAGUUCUUGCUCGCCUUUGCUUGUGCAAGCCGUGACGGCGAUGACGUCGGAACCCGAAUGUGCUGCUUUGGGGCUGGUGGGAUGGAUAGGGAUACCGAGUCAACUUGAUCAAGAUAGAAAAGGAGAGACGCCUAGGGGUUCCUCCUCCUUCCAGGCUCCCACGUAUACUUUACAAUAUCUGCAGACAUGUGUCAUUUUCGGUCAGAUAUGCAGAUCUAGGUGCAUAUUUUCAAGCACAAAUUCAGUUGAACACAUAUUGACACUCAAAAGUGUUGUUGCCUAGAACUUUAGCUUGCACUGUUGGUAAAGUAACGAGGAGGAGUAUGUUGGGGCCUUCGUCUUUCGAAGGUGCUCAAAAACACACUUAAUUAUUGGUUGUCAGCAUGUUCACAAGUGUUGUAGGAACUUCGGUAUUGAAUACCUUCGGAAUAGGAUGAAGAUAAAGACGAAGUUGUUAAGCUUUGUCACAACAACACAUAGAGACGAAGGAGAACAUUGCCGGGAGAAGGCGUCCACGGUUCCGUGUCCAAGCUGUUAGAGGCAGAAGUCAAUAUUGCCCUCGCAUCGUUUUGUAAAUUAUAUGUACAAGUCUUGUGGGCAUAUUUGUUAUUCCAUACAAAGUUGUACGAUCCCCUAUAAAUAGGUGAACAUUGACCUGCAUAAAGUACCUUUUGGAGGGCUAAAGAGUGAUUCGUGUAGUCCCUUCCUAAUGCACCUUCGCUCUAAUUCAUUCUAUUGAGCCGAAGGUACGAUUGUAAAUUUAUGAUACAAAAGAGGAGAAAUGGAAUGUUGAAAUAUCAAGGAUGAG
This 1368-nucleotide unclassified non-coding RNA is filed under the name Zea mays. Its description in RNAcentral is "misc RNA Zm00001eb030100". The record is from RNAcentral. Lineage: Eukaryota; Viridiplantae; Streptophyta; Magnoliopsida; Poales; Poaceae.